Molecule: ribosomal RNA, 253 nt
Filed under: uncultured bacterium
Lineage: Bacteria
Description: partial 16S ribosomal RNA
Rfam family: Bacterial small subunit ribosomal RNA
Source: RNAcentral
UACGGGGGGGGCAAGCGUUGUUCGGAAUUACUGGGCGUAAAGGGCUCGUAGGCGGCCAACUAAGUCAGACGUGAAAUCCCUCGGCUUAACCGGGGAACUGCGUCUGAUACUGGAUGGCUUGAGUUCGGGAGAGGGAUGUGGAAUUCCAGGUGUAGCGGUGAAAUGCGUAGAUAUCUGGAGGAACACCGGUGGCGAAGGCGGCAUCCUGGACCAAUACUGACACUGAGGAGCGAAAGCCAGGGGAGCAAACGGG